Mauremys mutica (yellowpond turtle) is the source of this 749-nucleotide long non-coding RNA. RefSeq lists it as uncharacterized. Lineage: Eukaryota; Metazoa; Chordata; Testudines; Geoemydidae. The record is from RefSeq and is a predicted model, not a curated record. The transcript is spliced from 3 exons.
GUGGCACAUUUAUAUCUGCUCUGAACAGCUGGGAACUGUCACUCGGGUGGAAAUAUGCAAAGCAGCAUCUGUAUGAAUGUCCAUUCGCUUUGCAGACCCAGGGCCACAGACACCCCUCAAUCUCAUGUGCUGCCAUCUGGUGGCAAGAUAAGGAGAUUCAACAUCAUUAUUUGGAGGUAUCACCGCUUCAGUGAUUCACAGGCCUCCUGCCAGCCCUCACAAAGUAUUGAAUGUCAUCGUGUGCAUCCAGUGGCCGGUCAAUGUCUCAUGAGAUCUGGGCUAUCUAAAAAGUGAAUACUUGCAAUCAAUGAACACGUGAACAUUAUGCCACAGGUGAUAUGACAGGAUUUGACCUGGAAAUGCUCAGCUUCACGUGCACCAAAUAUGGUCCUUGCAUACGUCUGAUCCAGACAAUGAUGGCGAGGGCAUAAGGGACGGAUCUGAGCAGCAUGGUGGCUUACCUAGGUUCCCACACUGCAGCUACACUGACAUGGGGACACCCGACAGGAAGCAGCUGUUACUCUGAUUUUGGGUUGAUUCUUACCCUGGAUCCAGAGCACUAAGAACCAAAUGAUGUGAGCUUGUGAGAUCAUCUUGUUGUUUCUGCUCAGACCAACCCUUGUCAAUAAACCACAAAGAGUGAAGUGAAACCUUCAUAACUGCUCUGAGCAGCAGGGAAAGGACAGUGGGAUGCAAAUAUGCAAAGCAGCUGUUCUCAGUCCCUGAUACGGGGCCAGAUCCCCAGUGGC